This 31-nucleotide non-coding RNA is filed under the name Homo sapiens (human). The record is from RNAcentral. Lineage: Eukaryota; Metazoa; Chordata; Mammalia; Primates; Hominidae.
ACACCAAUGAACAGGUUUGACUACAAGGAGA